UCCCUGGUGGCUCAGAUGGUAAAGCGCCUGCCUACCGUGCGGGAGACCCAGGUUCGAUCCCUGGGUUGGGAA
RNAcentral lists this transfer RNA (72 nucleotides) under Ovis aries (sheep). It matches the Rfam family "tRNA". From Rfam's summary of the family: Transfer RNA (tRNA) molecules are approximately 80 nucleotides in length. Lineage: Eukaryota; Metazoa; Chordata; Mammalia; Artiodactyla; Bovidae. The record is from Rfam by way of RNAcentral.